This 468-nucleotide ribosomal RNA is filed under the name uncultured bacterium. RNAcentral's name for it is "partial 16S ribosomal RNA". It matches the Rfam family "Bacterial small subunit ribosomal RNA", at positions 28 to 507 of the family's 1533-position model. The record is from RNAcentral.
GACGAACGCUGGCGGCGUGCUUAACACAUGCAGGUCGAACGGAAAGGCCCUGCUUUUGUGGGGUGCUCGAGUGGCGAACGGGUGAGUAACACGUGAGUAACCUGCCCUUGACUUUGGGAUAACUUCAGGAAACUGGGGCUAAUACCGGAUAGGAGCUCCUGCUGCAUGGUGGGGGUUGGAAAGUUUCGGCGGUUGGGGAUGGACUCGCGGCUUAUCAGCUUGUUGGUGGGGUAGUGGCUUACCAAGGCUUUGACGGGUAGCCGGCCUGAGAGGGUGACCGGCCACAAUGGGACUGAGAUACGGCCCAGACUCCUACGGGAGGCAGCAGUGGGGAAUAUUGCACAAUGGGCGGAAGCCCGAUGCAGCAACGCCGCGUGCGGGAUGACGGCCUUCGGGUUGUAAACCGCUUUCGCCUGUGACGAAGCGUGAGUGACGGUAAUGGGUAAAGAAGCACCGGCUAACUACGUG